Molecule: long non-coding RNA, 4713 nt
Organism: Cyprinus carpio (common carp)
Lineage: Eukaryota; Metazoa; Chordata; Actinopteri; Cypriniformes; Cyprinidae
Exons: 2
Source: RefSeq, a predicted model, not a curated record
UUGGUGUAUUUUUGGAAACACUCUUUAAGUCUGCAUGGUUGAAAUCCCCAGCUAUGAUGAGAAAAGCAUCAGGGUGGUCUGUCUGCUGCUCACUGAUGUGCUGGUACAGUUCAUUUAGUGCAUCGUUGCUGCUGUUGUUCGGAGAAAUGUAUACAGCAAAGACUAGUAUGGCUGUAUAUUCCCUCGGUAGAUAGAAUGACCAGCGCUUAAUAAUCAUAAACUCCACCAGGGGUGAGCAGUGUUUGCAGACUACAACAGCACCGCGGCACCACGGGUCAUUGAUGUAAACACAAAGCCCGCCGCCACGGGUUUUACCUCCCGCGACCAGACCUCUGUCUGCUCGAUAGCACGUCAGCUGGUCAAGCUGAAUAGCACCGUCUGGAAUGCUGUUGCUAAGCCGUGUUUCCGUGAACACAAAAACACAACAGUCUCUUACAGUCCUCUGAGUUGAGCGUAGUAAUCGGAUGUAGUCCAGUUUAUUGUCCAUAGAGCAUACGUUAGCCAGUACGAUGGUGGGGAUAGAUGCUUGUGUGGGUUAGCCUAGCUCAGAUACCUCCGUGUCAAACCCCUCUUCUGCUUGUGGCACCUCCGCUCUGGGUGAGAUGCAGUAGUUGGGGUCGGUGAUGGUGUAGGCCUCUGGAGCAGACCGAGAUCCCACAGCUGUUCCAAAGACGUAAAAAAACACUGCGACUCACAAGAUAAAAAACAUGAAAACUCCAUUCUGAUGGGACAGAGAGAAGCCGCUGCGUGUGGACGUGCCGCCAUCUUGAGGUGGAAAGGUCUUCAUCUUAGUCCCGUGUUAAAAUGUCCUUGCUAGUUUUUUUUUUUAAUCAUAUUUAGUCAACCUUAUCCUAUUUAGAUUGUCUAGUUUUAGUCUGCUAAAAGUCUCAACAUUUUAAUUUAGUUUUAGUCCAAGCAAACCUUAAGAAUUUUAGUCUAGUUUUUGUCAAUGAAAACUUGACACAGCAAUAAGAUUAUUAAUUAACCGUACAGUAUUCAUUUUGGCAGCCAUUUUUAAUUUGGUCUUGGUCUUACUCAAAUGAACAUUUUAGUUAUUAUAUUUAGUCAACCUUGUCCUGUUUUUGUUUAGUCAAGUUUAAGUCAAUGAAAUGUAAAAGCGUUUUUAUGAAAUCUUAGUCACAUUUUCGUUAUUUUGUAUAAUGAUUAAACUGAUAAAAUAAUAUUUUUGCUCAAUUAUAAUCGUAAUGAUUGUUGUCAUUUGAGAAAUUUACUUUUGCAUUUCAGGUACUGCACUUUCACCAGUAAGCACAAACCAAUAGAAUGUGGACACAUACAUGAUGUAUUUUACCUCAUCUAGUGUACCGAUUUAUUAUAGGCUUUUUAUUAUAUAAAUUAAUACUAAAGACUUAUGCAAUCUCUCUCUGUCUACAUUAUGAAAACAGCUAAAACAAGCAAAAAAAUAUUAUUACUAGCAACUCCAAUUUGCAAUAGCCUAUUUCUCUAUUAAAACAGCAGCGGUUGAGUAAGUGCAUUUAAUCAUUGAUCACAGUCGCAAACAAUAUAGUCGAGAUCUCAUGACAGAACACAGACUGGGUGAAAGACACUUUUAUUUAGGUCGCUAAACUGCAGCUUAUUUGUUUUUCAGAUCAUCGGCGGCGGCGCUUCAGUGAGCUUGUGCGCAUGGUUGCCAAAUUGCUUAAAAUAAGCAAAACAAUUAUUCUUGAAUCGCAGAUUUAACGAUGGUGUGAUAAUGCUAUUCAUGCUAGCACAAAAUCAUCUUCAGUCCCUCUAUGCCUACAAUAAGGAGAUAGUGUUUGCCUGGCUUCAAGCAGCUACUUUUGUUUAUCUUCACCAGUUGUCUUAUCUGAGAACAGCGUUCCUGAUCAUAAUUGAAAUACACAAUCUUCACCAGCUGAGACGAGAGUAUUCACUAAGUGACAAUCAGCCUGAAUGCAGAGGCAGGGAAGUCGAACAGAGAAGACCAACUGAUGAGAGUGAAGGCACACAAACCAAAGUUCCACUGAUGGUUCAAGGACAGCUGAUUGAGGAAGUGCUGCAGUUUAUUAACCUUGCGAUCAUAGUGGUCUCUGAUGGAGGGACAUAGGCUGAAUCAACAGCUGAAUAAGGAAGAUCAAGACAUAGAAACAGGCUUUCCAAGAGAUCUGUAAGACAGUGGCAUCAAAUGGGAAGAUGUGGAUAAUGCGGCCAUGGAUUGAAUACUUGGAUAGUCUUGUUGGCCAUUGCGCCAACACAUGACCUGUUCUGAUAAUGUUUUAAUCUCUGCAGAGAAAGAAGCUACUCUCUUUAAAUAUUAAGGCAUGCCACCUCUCCUAACCAUAGAGAGGUGAGAGUGAGAGAGUGCGAGAGUGCACUCCCUGAAUGAUUUUAUAGCUGAACUAUUAUGUCUUUGUGCUGGGGGGUUCAAACCUCAUUAAGGUUUGCCUAUGGAUAGCUCCGAAUCUGAACCCUUCAGAGCGAAGCCUGCUGCCAAAUAUAAAGUUCAGGACCUCUACAAUAAUCUUACUCAGAGUGGUCCUGGCUGAAAAACAAAAAAAAAAAAAAAAAUAUAUAUAAAAAUAUUUUUGUUGUUGUUUAAAAGCAGAGGAUCUGUUCUUUUUCUUUUGACAUAUUCAUAGAUGCAAACUCCUAGUAUUUUCUUUACCCUUACUUCAAAAAUCAUGUCUAAAAAGGGUAAUAUUUGAUGUAUUUGAGGUCUCAGAUGUGGGAAAGAGAGUAAAAAGAGAGAGGGCAAACAUUUUGCACUUUAGGUCAGCAUAAUCAGCCAAUAUUGUCUUAAAUAGCCUGCAUAGCACAUCAUCUUUUAUGACAUGGGAUUGUGACCAAAUAUAUUCAAUCUUGAGUUCUGUAAAAUUUUGAGUUUUUUUUUUUUUUUUUUUUUUUUUUUUUUGUGAAAAAUUAUUGGACACAUAAUCUAAUAAAAAUAUGUUUAAAAAUGCAUUAAAGUAAUUACAAAUGAGCGUGUAAAGCAGGGUUCCUCAAUAGCCGGCCCGCAGGCCACAUCCGGCCCACAAGAGAAAAAUUUUUAGACUGUGCUAAUGUGCCAUAAAACUUCAAACACAGCAUCAGAAAGCGACAUUAACUUGCGUCAUGUCUACACCGGACAUUUGGGCACGAUGCAACAAAAUACAAUAAGAGCUUAUUACAAUCAGUAAUGCUGUCUACACUGGAUGCGGUGCAGUGCGGCGUGAUAAAUCCCUGACAGAAAACUGCUGACUCCUUCUAUGUAUGGCGUGCUAACACACAGUUCAAAUGAUUUGCAAUGCUUUGUCGCAUCCAGUGUAGAUAUACGAUGUGACAGCAAAAACAUGGCAAGAAAAGUAAAGAAAAGAAAAUGUAAAGAAAAGUGGACACUGAAAAUAGAUGAUUCAAAUGUGAAUGGACUGAACAGUUUUGCCUGAGUGAUACCAUCUUUAUGGAUGUUGGUUCGCAGUGAGUUCACAGUUUUAAUGUAAGUUUGUUUUAGCCUAAUUUAUUUUUAAGAUCUGAGGUAAAAUAUCGAUUGUUGCUUUCAUUAUGACUGUAAAGAUCAUAAUAAUAUUCAAAAAUAAUAAAUAAUAUUCAAACUCACAUUAGACACUUUUAGCACUGAAUAAAGCACAUAAUCAUUACCUCAGGUUAUCACUGUCAUAUUUUGUAUGUUGUUCCUGCCGCGAGGUCGCAUAAAAUAAAAACCAUUUAUAAAAUAGAGUUCCGUGUCGCUUAUUGUCACAUGUCACUGUCGCGGGUGGUUAGAGCAAAAACUACAUGGAAAAGAUACUUUUUAUCACAUCACGUCUGGUUGGAACACACAGUGUUACAUUUUGACCCCCCCCCCCCCCCCAAAAAAAAAAAAUCUAAGUAUAAAAAUAUUAAUGCUGACAGAUCUAAUAAUUGAAUCUGCAAUUAGGGAAAAUGGAGAGAAGUCGUCCAGUCUGGAGCAGGGACAGUUGAUUUGCAUGGCAGACAUGGAGAUCCAGAUUUUUUGUUCGUUCAUUUGUUUUUAACAUUUAACAGGCAAAGUUCUUCUUUAUCUAAAUGCAAAAAUGUUCAUAAUUGUUUGAAUAAAACAGAAUACUGCAGAGAAAAUUCUGAAUAUUUAUCGUGACCAUCUUUUGAUUAUUUUAACAAAAGCAACAAUAUAAUAAUUGUAAUAUAAUAAUAAUUAUAAUAAUAAUAAUAAUAAUAAUAAUAAUAAUAUAUAUGUGUGUGUGUGUAGGUCAGUGGCCCUUGGCUUGGUAUUGCUGGCAGAAUUCAACCCUCGGCGAAAACUAAUUGAGGAACCCUGGUGUAAAGCAAACAUCUUUAAAAGAAAUUACGUGUGGAGCAUGCCCCCAAUCCACACAGUGUUCUCAUCUUUUUUCCUCCUUACCUGUUUGCAUCUCUGCAGAGAUUUAUACAACUAAAUAUUAUGGGUAACAUUAAACUGAUAAAAAUGAAAAAAUAAUGCUGGCGGUAGCUGGCAACUAAAAAAAAAAAACAAACAAAACAAAGCAAAAAAAACCUGGCAGGGAAAGAGUUUAAAAAGUAUUCAUUACAUUCCUAGUGAAGUACUACAUUAUUCACAAUCUUGAAAUUAUAUCUACCAAUCAGAGAAAUCAUUAGCAUGGCAACUUGAUUCUCCGCAAAGAACAGUGGUUCAAUGUUAAGUGAAAAGGAUGUUCUUUUAUAGCAUUUCUUUAGGCCAGCAGUAAUCUGUAUGCUCAAUAGUGCUUAAUUGACCAUUCGCAAAGACUGCUUAGUUACUUUUGCUAU